UGCCUUCCACCAUGAUUGUGAGGCCUCCCCAGCCACAUGGAACUACCAGCCAACACUUACGGAAAAUAGAACCUACGUUGAAAUAUUGGGGGCUGGUUUCCUCUAUACAAGAGGAGUCAUGAAUAUUUAUGAAAGGAGAAAUCGCACAUGCACAGCAAGGCAAUUUACUUCUAUAGAAGGGUGCGCCCUCACAGAUGGAGCAAUGGAUGACCUGCCUGCAGAAGGAGCUACCCACUGAAGGUCUCUUCUCUGCUGAGAGCUGGACACUCAUUGGGAUGAACUGCCUGUGGAAAGGAGCUACCCACUUUGGGUCUCUAGAGAGCUGUUCUGUUGCUCAGUGAAGCUCCUGUGCAUCUUGCUCACCCUCCAAUUGUCUGCAUACUUCAUUCUUCCUGGACAUGGGACAAGAACUCAGGACCAAAUGGUGGGACUGAAAGAGCUAUGACACAAACAGGGCUCAAGAUUUAACAGCCAACAACAAAACAAAAUAAAGCAAAAUAAAUGUCAGAAUGUGUGAGCUAUCAGAUCAUUGGCCUGUGGAUAUUCAAGUCUGAACUGAAUUUGAAUUGUCUCUUUUCGGGGAAAUGAUGCACAUUGUAUCAUGUCAGGCAAUAAUUUUUUGUAUAUGUUAUGGAUAGUUUGUAUGUAUGUGUGUGGUGGGGAUGGUAUGAAUGCAUGUGCUGGCUGGGAAGUAAAGCGAUGAACUGCAACAGAUCCCAAUUUAGUUUUGUUUAACACUGACCCCUUCUUUGGAAACAUCACCACCCCUAUUCAGUGAACUGCAACUCCACUCAUAUUCACAUGGUCCUUGGCCUCUUAGGCCACAGAAGGUUAGUUUUGAAAUAGUGACUUGAACCAAAGUGAAGCAUUGAGAAUGCUGUUCAACCCUUAAGUAUUAAUGAAUCCCUUAAGCCUAUCCUUGUAAAACCUGCCUGAAUUUAGAAAACUAAACUAAGGUUUAGUUUUAAUGUAGACCAUAUUUUAGUUUUAACCUGUUUUUUAUUGUAAAAUUUAGUGACUAAAAAAUGUUUCUUCAUUUACCAAAAGUAUUCAUUUGAAGACUCCUUUUAGUAGGAAUUUUUUAAUUCUUAUAAACACUAUAUAGAGAAAACUAUGUGCCAAGAAAAUGAAUCUUUAUUGAAUUAACAGAAACAAUUAAAUCUGAAUUACUUUGGACAUCAGUAAAAUAUAAUUUCUAAGGAAAUAUAUCUUAUGAAAUUCACCAAAAUGUCAAUUGAUAUAAAAGUUAAGGUGUAAUGAAGUAUUUAACAUACUAGUAACAUAAUUUGUUUCAUUGUACUCAGUAUCAUAAUCUCUAAAGAGGUGGAAAUAGCAGAAAACAGCAUGGUAGAAAGAAAGAGAGGUUUAUAAUCUGUGUGCGGCAGAAUGAAUGAGAGAAAUUGAAUUGAAAAUGAUAUUUAGGCUCAUUAACAUACUAUGAAAACUUUGUCCAAAUUUUUAAAAUUGAAAUUAUCUAAAAUAUAGAAACAGAUUAGAUAUUUCAGAAAGUGUAUUUUUCACAGGGUCAAUUUUAAGACAGUGUUAGGAGCAAAAUAACUAUUUCUACAUAAAAAUGAUUUAAAAGCCAAGUAAAUGUACUUUAAAUGUAAAAAUGUAGAUCCUCAUAAACAAGCUACUGAAUAAUGUAUAUUAAAUUACAUUUAGAGUACUAGUAUUAUCCGGUGUUUAAUACAGAAAUGGAAAAAGUAAAGAUUUGGAAAACAAUGAUUUUCUUGUUUUGUUUUGAAUUUGAAAAAUGGCUUAAAUAUAAAUAGCAUAUUACCAAAUUGUUUAAAACAACACUCCAAAACUUGAAAGUACAUUGAAGAGCUGAAAAAGCUUCAUUAAAAUAAAGCAAUU
Molecule: long non-coding RNA, 1860 nt
Organism: Homo sapiens (human)
Lineage: Eukaryota; Metazoa; Chordata; Mammalia; Primates; Hominidae
Source: Ensembl